CGGAAUUGCUAGUAAUGGCAGGUCAGCAUACUGCCGUGAAUACGUUCCCGGGCCUUGUACACACCGCCCGUCACACCAUGAGAGUUGGGAAUACCCGAAGCCUGUGAGCCAACAAACGAGGCAGCAGUCGAAGGUAGAAUCAAUGAUUGGGGUGAAGUCGUAACAAGGUAGC
RNAcentral lists this ribosomal RNA (172 nucleotides) under uncultured bacterium. Its description in RNAcentral is "partial 16S ribosomal RNA". It matches the Rfam family "Bacterial small subunit ribosomal RNA", at positions 1327 to 1500 of the family's 1533-position model. The record is from RNAcentral.